GUUUCUGAUGAUGAUAUAAACCAUAAAAACUUUCGUUCUUCUGAGAGGAAAAUCGAUGCGGAAUCCUAUAUGGAGACCUGAGCUGAAGAGAC
This 92-nucleotide small nucleolar RNA is filed under the name Theobroma cacao (cacao). Its description in RNAcentral is "snoRNA snoZ159". It matches the Rfam family "Small nucleolar RNA Z159/U59". Rfam says of the family: This family consists of several snoRNA Z159 or U59 sequences which are members of the C/D class of snoRNA which contain the C (UGAUGA) and D (CUGA) box motifs. This family seems to be found exclusively in rice. The record is from Rfam by way of RNAcentral. Lineage: Eukaryota; Viridiplantae; Streptophyta; Magnoliopsida; Malvales; Malvaceae.